Molecule: long non-coding RNA, 641 nt
Organism: Drosophila sechellia
Lineage: Eukaryota; Metazoa; Arthropoda; Insecta; Diptera; Drosophilidae
Exons: 3
Source: RefSeq, a predicted model, not a curated record
ACCCAAUAUGGGCCACAGCAGAUUUUGUUGUUUUUGGACAAAUGUAGGUAUGUAGGUACACUGAGGACAACAAUGCGUGACUUUAAUUCAUACAUAUUGCAUUUUAAUGGGAACAUCCUUUUUGAAAUAUACAUGAGUAUUAUGCAAAACUGGAAAAAGGAAAGCUGGAUAUCUGUCAAUUUUGGAAAAAUAGAUUGGUUAUGGACGGCUAUCUUGGUUUGGUUCAGUGCAUGAUCAUCUCUAUAUAUGAGCACACGAGCGUGGUCUCAUGUGAAUCGGGUUUUUGGCUCGAUUUUGUCUGGCUUUGUGGACUGGCGACAAAGGCGGGGGCGAUCGGAAUGAAUGGAGAGCGAUAAACCAAGGUCAGGCCUCGAUUCUUUGAGAAGGAGCAGCUGUUGCUCUAAGCUUGGCUAGAACGCAUCCAAUGCUACCCCCAAACUGAAUGGAAUGGCACAAACACACGGGCGGCCUCCUGUGCCCACGGAGCUCUACUAAUUUGACUGUCAAUCAAAAAAGGCGAGCAGCAGCAGGAUCAGCAGGAUCGCAGAGCACGAAGGACUCCCAGCGAGUUGAUAAUCGAUGGGAAUCAAAUUUGCUGCCAGCUUCCAGAGAAGCUCCCUACACUACGGCUAAGUGGCAGA